UCCAGGAAAGAUUAUGGUGUCUUUAGGGAAGGCUCCAUCAGGUAAAUACCUGACACACAAUAAAUGUUACCAUUACAGUCAUCUCGUGGCGAUGGAGAGGGGGAUGCUUAAUCUCUCUCCAUCUAAAUUUGACACUGAACUAAGGCCAGCAGCAGCAGUCUAAAGAGCCCCGGCUGUGUCUCCACCAACAGCACACAGGACGGAGCCAACAGCGAUGGUUUCCAGACCUGCCGAGCCUGAUG
This is a long non-coding RNA of Perca flavescens (yellow perch), 242 nucleotides long. RefSeq lists it as uncharacterized. NCBI's taxonomy places the organism in Eukaryota, Metazoa, Chordata, Actinopteri, Perciformes, Percidae. The record is from RefSeq and is a predicted model, not a curated record. The transcript is spliced from 3 exons.